CGCGCACGCACACACACACACGUGCCGACGCAGUCCUCGAGCACGUACUCAAACAUCAGCGAGCGAGAAAAGACGCUGAGACGUCGGUGCAAGAAUAUUUCGAGGAAUUAAGAGACGGACUCGCUAAUUUCAUUGAAGAGAGAAAAGUGCGCACGUUCAAACCACUACAUGAUUUCACGGCGUGUCGAACAGGACUCAGCCUUUUCGUGUGACUUCAACAUUUGAACUUCAUAAUGUUUUCUUCUUGAUCUUCUCCAUUGAGACGCCGGUGAGGAGAAUAGCAGCUGCCUCGGUGGGUGAGUGAGUAGAGUGAUCAGACAGACAGAAGGGGCACAGGGGCCACCGGCCACUUUGUCUCAGGGGUCUCCCUUGACUAAUCAAUGACAGAGGGAAGUUGCCCUCACUUGUCCUUGCAGCCCUGCUCCGCUAUGAAGCCCAAAAUCCACCCAAGCAGCCCCCGUCAGCGGCCGACCCUUAGGAAUGGUAAGCAACUGAAAUCACCAUCAAAGGGAUUAAAACAUGACAUGAGCCUUUGUUCCACAGCUGUUGUACAAAUGACAAAGAUUACAUAACACACGUUACCCAUUGCCACCUGCAGUAAUGCGUCGCUGGAAGACUUGGCAAUUAACCACUUCAGAAGUAUUGUCACUUCAUCAACCAUGGAUGCUGCUUUCAGUUCUCAAAGUACACGCUUUCAACACACAACAAAGUCAUCUCUGUACUAAAACUCAGAAAUGAAUCCUUUAAGUGCCUCGUGCCUUGUAGGUUUACGACACUUGAGGCCCCCCGGGGUCCGGAGAGAUGUCCUAAUGUUGCCGGCAGAGACCAAAUGGCCUGUUCCCUCCACAGUAGUUGACCUCGUCUUACUCCGCCGGGGCAAGAAAGCCUCGGUGCAGUAAUGGCUCUCAGCCUGCGAGAUAAUGUCAUCUGACACGCACUGGUUUGGGAGAGGUAAUUGCACCCCACACUGUUGUAAUUUCUCAUUCAUGCAUGUUUGAAUGGUGACUUAUGCCACUAGUAAUUGCCCAAGUCCGCAGACUGCAAUCCUGCCUCAUAAUAAUCUACCUAAUGGGCGCUUUCUCUAUUUCACACUAGGAAUAUUGAAUUAAAGUUUAAAGUUUAGAUACACAGUGUUUAUUAUUUGUUCUCCAGGCAGAGUGAAGUCAUUCUUGCCUCAGUUCUUUUGAUGCGUGCACAGCCCUAAUAAUCUUCAGCGUUUUCAUUCAAAUUGAUUGUGAUUGUGACAUCAUUGUCUUGCUAAUGCAGCAGGUUAUCUGUCCAUUGUGUGAUACAUUGUCCUGCUCUUCGGUCUUUGUUUAAACAGGUGGAAAUAGCGUUUGUUGUAACCGUUCUUAGAUCUCAGAGGUGGUGUGUGUGAGCUGAUCUAAAUUGACAUGUUGUAAACCUCAGUCUGUUCGUUCCAUGAGUAAUUUUGCAAGGACUAAAGUGUGGAAUCCUUCUUACACGUCAUCCCAUUACAGCAUUGUUACAUAUCAGCGGAUCCCAGCAACAAGUACACGCAAAUGUGAAGCGCCAGACGAUUCUUUUUUUAUCAGUCUAAUGAUGGUGUUCUGCAGUAACAAACCUCCCAAAUGGCAAACAAGCAGCCUUUGCUUUUCUAAAUGACUUAGAUUUUUCAAAGACUUGAAUGGGUUUUCUGCCAUUGCCCCGCUGCAGGUAAAUGAGAGUAAAGUAAAGAGAGGAAGUCUUCAAAGUUAACCAGCAAAGACACGGCACUGUGACUCUGUGGGAGGCUACACCAUGGGAAAUUAAGAACCGAAUGUAAUGUGGUGAAAGUGACUCCCCACCUGCCUUGUAAACACUCUCCAGGCUGUAGUUAAAUGGCCUGCCGUCUGAGGGACGCAGCUCCAUGGUGCAACAGCUUCAGGUUCUGCUGUGAAACAGUCAGAUGUUCAAUUCUGGUUCACAUAUGUUGUGACAUCAAUAAAAUGAGU
This is a long non-coding RNA of Scophthalmus maximus (turbot), 1955 nucleotides long. RefSeq lists it as uncharacterized. The transcript has 3 exons. NCBI's taxonomy places the organism in Eukaryota, Metazoa, Chordata, Actinopteri, Pleuronectiformes, Scophthalmidae. The record is from RefSeq and is a predicted model, not a curated record.